CUAAGUAAAUCUAUUGAAACAGGUUUCACAAUUUCCAUUUCCCCACGGGAGAUACUAGUGGAUGGUUUGUCAGAUUGGUAUUGAUGGAGAAGAGGAUGUUGUGUUAUGGUUUCACUAUAGCCUGCAACGAUGGGUUUAUCACUGUCAGAUCAGCAUGUCAAACUUCUGGAACACAACAGAAGUUGGGAACUCCCUUCUCCUUGGAAGAUUUCCUGGAAUUCUAAAGCACCGGGUCUGACGAUCUUGGAGUGCAUUUUUCUUGGUCAGUUGGGCUGUGGUGUUCUGUUAGAAAGGAAUUUGCUUGUUGAGGGUUGAAUUGUCCUUAACAUUGGAGAAGCCCUUCCGUUUGUAAAACCAGCAUCCAGUUUGUUUGGAUGGAUGGCUUACCACAUUACUUUUUCUGCAUUAUGGCGGUGCCCUUUAGCUGGUCAGAUUCUUCAGUUGCUUAGAUUUGUUAUAGUUUGUUUAUGAAUGGGAGGCAUAACUUUUUCUUUUCUAUCAAAAGAUUUUCAUUAUCGACAAUCAUUUACAUCAACACUUGAGUGUUGUGAAACUUUCAGGAAUUUUAGAUGAAAAAGACUCAAGUGAAUG
Eucalyptus grandis is the source of this 591-nucleotide long non-coding RNA. RefSeq lists it as uncharacterized. The record is from RefSeq and is a predicted model, not a curated record. The transcript has 3 exons. Lineage: Eukaryota; Viridiplantae; Streptophyta; Magnoliopsida; Myrtales; Myrtaceae.